Molecule: ribosomal RNA, 681 nt
Filed under: uncultured Bacillus sp.
Lineage: Bacteria; Bacillati; Bacillota; Bacilli; Caryophanales; Bacillaceae
Description: bacterial SSU rRNA
Rfam family: Bacterial small subunit ribosomal RNA
Source: RNAcentral
AGUCGAGCGGAUCUUUCAAAGCUUGCUUUUGGAAGGUCAGCGGCGGACGGGUGAGUAACACGUGGGCAACCUGCCUGUGAGACUGGGAUAACUUCGGGAAACCGGAGCUAAUACCGGAUAAUAUAAGGAACCUCCUGGUUCUUUAUUGAAAGAUGGUUUCGGCUAUCACUCACAGAUGGGCCCGCGGCGCAUUAGCUAGUUGGUGAGGUAACGGCUCACCAAGGCGACGAUGCGUACCCGACCUGAGAGGGUGAUCGGCCACACUGGGACUGAGACACGGCCCAGACUCCUACGGGAGGCAGCAGUAGGGAAUCUUCCACAAUGGACGAAAGUCUGAUGGAGCAACGCCGCGUGAGCGAUGAAGGCCUUCGGGUCGUAAAGCUCUGUUGUUAGGGAAGAACAAGUGCGAGAGUAACUGCUCGCACCUUGACGGUACCUAACCAGAAAGCCACGGCUAACUACGUGCCAGCAGCCGCGGUAAUACGUAGGUGGCAAGCGUUGUCCGGAAUUAUUGGGCGUAAAGCGCGCGCAGGUGGUCCUUUAAGUCUGAUGUGAAAGCCCACGGCUCAACCGUGGAGGGUCAUUGGAAACUGGGGGACUUGAGUGCAGAAGAGGAAAGUGGAAUUCCAAGUGUAGCGGUGAAAUGCGUAGAGAUUUGGAGGAACACCAGUGGCGAAGGCG